Molecule: non-coding RNA, 200 nt
Filed under: Metalysinibacillus saudimassiliensis
Lineage: Bacteria; Bacillati; Bacillota; Bacilli; Caryophanales; Caryophanaceae
Description: T-box
Rfam family: T-box leader
About the family: Uncharged tRNA acts as the effector for transcription antitermination of genes in the T-box leader family. T-boxes are found upstream of many aminoacyl-tRNA synthetase genes and some amino acid biosynthetic genes usually in Gram-positive bacteria. The anticodon of a specific tRNA base pairs to a specifier sequence within the T-box motif, and the NCCA acceptor tail of the tRNA base pairs to a conserved bulge in the T-box antiterminator hairpin.
Source: RNAcentral
GUAAAAACAUUGACGAAGAAAGUACGUAUUGCCGGGCGUUGUAGAGAGAGGUUUCUUGGCUGUAAAAACCUUACGCAAGCAUUACCGAAAGCUACUUCCGAGUUGCAAGCUUAAACUUGCCGUAAAACUACGUUACAGUAACUAAGAGACAGCUAACGCUGUAAAUUAGGGUGGUACCGCGACUAAUCCUCGUCCCUUUA